UGCACUCAUAUCCGGAGCUUUUGCAUAC
This 28-nucleotide non-coding RNA is filed under the name Mus musculus (house mouse). Lineage: Eukaryota; Metazoa; Chordata; Mammalia; Rodentia; Muridae. The record is from RNAcentral.